Molecule: long non-coding RNA, 642 nt
Filed under: Salmo salar (Atlantic salmon)
Lineage: Eukaryota; Metazoa; Chordata; Actinopteri; Salmoniformes; Salmonidae
Description: lncRNA (ENSSSAG00000117545.1)
Source: RNAcentral
GGGAGGACAAGGUAGUAGUGAUUCCUACACAGGGCUUCAUGGCCGGGACAGGGAUGGGAUCAGACCCUUCACGCCCAGGACAACCAGGUUACCCAGGACGUCCAGGGUUGGUCACACCAGAGCAGGGCCAACCAGGCUGGGACGGAGUGACAGGACAGAAGCCUGCUGUGGUCUACAAGGAGGAGGAGGGCCAGAGCUCUAGAACAACAGCCCAUAGCAUACCAGGAGCCACGGAAUCAUACAGCGUGGACCAAUCGGUGGCGAUCCCUCAUGAGGCAUCUCCCACCAAACCACCCUUCCACCUCAUCAUCGUCAACGUGCAUGACAAGAACCAAACAGUGGACCACAUCCUGCAGAUCCUUGGCCAGCCUCUAGGGGGUAAUGGAGAUUUCCAGUCCCCGCUCAUCCCAGCCUUCCCAUUCAUCCAGACUGAGGCCAUCCAGGGCAGCGAGGACUCUGACAGUAUCCAUCCCAUCACUCUCCCCCCAACGCUAAGCUUCAUCAACGGGAAACACCAGGUGACUCUGGAGCCAGAGCUGCCAGGGAAGGAGCAGGAGGCGAGAGGAGACCAGUUUGAGACGGCCACACCAGUCCACAGUGAACUGGGAGAAGAGAUGGAUCAUGAUGAGGAGGAGAAGAGCC